CUAACUCCAAUCCCACACAUGGGACAUGGCAACAAAGCAAUGGCAUCACGCACAUACACUCCCUUUUGUUUUCUUUGCUAUGGGCUCUCUGUAAAAUUGUUUGUUCUAUCCCUUCCACAUCCUCAAAAAAUCAAGUACUUCAAGAAAACUCUUGAUUCUUGAGAGUGUUAAAUUUCCUAUUUAUGUCUUCUUCCUCAAACCCUUCUCCUUUUUAGUACUGUCCCCAGAACAAGUCCAUCAUAUACCAUAUGGAAACCAAUUCUAGUUUCUUC
This 272-nucleotide long non-coding RNA is filed under the name Glycine max (soybean). RNAcentral describes it as "long non-coding RNA (GMAX_LNC004385)". The record is from RNAcentral. Lineage: Eukaryota; Viridiplantae; Streptophyta; Magnoliopsida; Fabales; Fabaceae.